Molecule: ribosomal RNA, 468 nt
Filed under: uncultured bacterium
Lineage: Bacteria
Description: partial 16S ribosomal RNA
Rfam family: Bacterial small subunit ribosomal RNA
Source: RNAcentral
GACGAACGCUGGCGGCGUGCUUAACACAUGCAAGUCGAACGGAAAGGCCCUGCUUUUGUGGGGUGCUCGAGUGGCGAACGGGUGAGUAACACGUGUGUAACCUGCCCUUGACUUUGGGAUAUCUUCAGGAAACUGGGGCUAAUAUCGGAUAGGAGCUCCUGCUGCAUGGUGGGGGUAGGAAAGUUUCGGCGGUUGGGGAUGGACUGGCGGCUUAUCAGCUUGUUGUGGGGGUUGUGGCUUACCAAGGCUUUGACGGGUAGCCGGCCUGAGAGGGUGACCGGCCACAUUGGGACUGAGAUACGGCGCAGACUCCUACGGGAGGCAACAGUGGGGAAUAUUACACAAUGGGCGGAAGCCUGAUGCAGCAACGCCGCGUGCGGGAUGACGGCCUUCGGGUUGUAAACCGAUUUCGCCUGUGACGAAGCGUGAGUGACGGUAAUGGGUAAAGAAGCACCGGCUAACUACGUG